Molecule: ribosomal RNA, 458 nt
Filed under: uncultured bacterium
Lineage: Bacteria
Description: partial 16S ribosomal RNA
Rfam family: Bacterial small subunit ribosomal RNA
Source: RNAcentral
CCUACGGGGGGCAGCAGUGAGGAAUAUUGGUCAAUGGGCGAGAGCCUGAACCAGCCAAGUCGCGUGAGGGAGUACUGCCCUAUGGGUUGUAAACCUCUUUUGUCGGGGAGCAAAAGCCGGACGUGUCCGGCUGUGAGAGUACCCGAAGAAAAAGCAUCGGCUAACGCCGUGCCAGCAGCCGCGGUAAUACGGGGGGUGCGAGCGUUAUCCGGGUUUUUUGGGUUUAAAGGGGGCGCAGGCGGAGUUUUAAGUCAGCGGUAAAAUCGUGGGGCUCAACCCCAUCCAGCCGUUGAAACUGGGGUUCUUGAGUGUGCGAGAGGUAUGCGGAAUGCGUGGUGUAGCGGUGAAAUGCAUAGAUAUCACGCAGAACCCCGAUUGCGAAGGCAGCAUACCGGUGCACAACUGACGCUCAGGCACGAAAGCGUGGGUAUCGAACAGGAUUAGAUACCCUAGUAGUC